RNAcentral lists this long non-coding RNA (504 nucleotides) under Anas platyrhynchos platyrhynchos (common mallard). Its description in RNAcentral is "lncRNA (ENSAPLG00000022863.1)". The record is from RNAcentral. Lineage: Eukaryota; Metazoa; Chordata; Aves; Anseriformes; Anatidae.
CGUCUCCCACCUGCAGCAGGAGAUGGGCAUAAAGAGCCUCCGCAGGUUCCCAGUGCUGGGGAAAAAAAAUAAUUGAUAAUUUGGGAAAAUAAUUUGGGAUUUUUAUUUUUUUUCUCCCCCUUCUCCCCUCCUUUCCUGGUGUUUCACCUCAAAAUUGGACAUCAGCAAAGGAUGGGUGAGAGCUGCCAGAAUUUCAGCCUUUCUGGCAAUUCAGGAGUUUUCAUCAAUUUGGAGACAUCUGAUGAGUUGUUGGGGUCGUUUCGUGACCAAGAACUGCAGAGCAAGGAGACAGGAGGCUGGCAGGCACCUGAUGAUCCGAGGACCGCUACCUCAGUGGGGACAAAGGAUCGAGGAGAUCAGAUCAGAUCAAAAGAGCAGAGCAGAGCAAACAGAUCAGAUCAGAGCAGAGCAGAGCAGCCCUCCUUCAUCUCCCCACAAACAGCAUGUAUGCAACCGAAAUGCACCCAGCACCAUCGAGCUUGCCCUGUGCAAAUCUGGUGGUAA